Falco peregrinus (peregrine falcon) is the source of this 2820-nucleotide RNA transcript. It is a transcript of the gene named cryptochrome-2-like, with no coding region annotated. The transcript has 11 exons. The record is from RefSeq and is a predicted model, not a curated record. NCBI's taxonomy places the organism in Eukaryota, Metazoa, Chordata, Aves, Falconiformes, Falconidae.
CCCUCUUCCCAGGUCACACCCCACCAGGACCCCUCCCAGCCAUGCAGCACAGCUCCAUCCACUGGUUUCGGAAGGGUCUCCGGCUGCACGACAACCCAGCACUGCUGGCAGCUGCCACUGAUUGCUGCUGCCUCCACCCCCUCUUCAUCCUCAACCCCUCCAACAGCCAGGCAGGCACCAAUGCCCAGCGGUUCCUCCUCGAUGCCCUGCGGGACUUGGAUGGAAGCCUGCAGAAAAUCGGCUCCAGGCUGUUCGUGGUGCGGGGCUGCCCAGAGGAGGUGUUUCCCAGUCUCUUCCACGCCUGGGGGACAACACGGUUGACCUUCGAGGUGGACACUGAACCCUCUGCCCGCCAGCGUGAUGCCACCGUGGCCAAGCUGGCAGCACAGCAUGGUGUGGAGGUGAUCCAGGAGGUGUCCCACACCCUCUAUGACACUGAGAGGUGGGUGCCUGGUGCUGUCUCUUGGGGAUGUGAGAUCCAGCCCCAGUGCCAAGCCCGUCUCUCCCUCUCCCACCCCAGAGUCCUUGCCCUGAACGAGGGCAAAGCCCCCCUGACCUACAAGCGCCUUCAGAGCCUCCUGGCAACCCUUGGACCCCCAGAGAAGCCAGCCCCAGCACUCACGCAGGAGCAUCUCCAGGGCUGCCACACCCCAUGCCAGGCCAGCCAUGACACCGACUAUGGGGUCCCCAACUUGGAGGAGCUGGGCCAGGACCCCACCAAUGUGGGUCCUCACCUCUACCCCGGCGGGGAGACAGCAGCACUCACCCGGCUCGAUGCACUCAUGGAGAGGACGGCCUGGGUGUGCAGCUUCCAAAAGCCCAGGACAGCGCCCACCUCACUGAGCCCCAGCACCACCGUCCUCAGCCCCUACCUCAAAUUUGGCUGCUUGUCAGUCCGCACCUUCUGGUGGCGGCUGGACCAGGUCUACCAAGGGCAGCAGGAGCACUCCCAGCCCCCCACCUCCUUGCAUGGGCAGCUCCUCUGGAGGGAGUUUUUCUACACAGCUGGCGCCAGCAUCCCCAAUUUCGACCGGAUGGCUGGCAACCCUGUCUGCCUGCAGGUCGACUGGGACAAUAAUCCACAGCACCUCCACGCCUGGAGGGAGGGCCAGACAGGCUACCCCUUCAUCGAUGCCAUCAUGACCCAACUGCGCACCGAGGGCUGGAUCCACCACCUCGCUCGGCACGCUGUUGCCUGCUUCCUCACCCGUGGGGACCUCUGGGUCUCCUGGGAAGAAGGGCUGAAGGUCUUUGAGGAGCUCUUGCUGGAUGCUGACUGGUCCCUCAAUGCUGGCAACUGGCUGUGGCUGUCAGGCAGUGCCUUCUUCCACCAGUAUUUCCGUGUCUACUCACCUGUUGCCUUUGGCAAGAAGACAGACCGGGACGGGGCGUACAUUCGAAAAUAUGUCCCCAUUCUCAAGGAUUUCCCUGCUGAGUACAUUUAUGAGCCCUGGAAAGCACCGCGGGCCGUGCAAGAGAGGGCAGGCUGCUUGGUGGGCACCCACUACCCCCAGCCCAUCGUGGAGCAUGGGGUGGCGAGCAAGAGGAACCUGGGGCGCAUGAAGUUGGCCCAUGCUCGGAAAGGUAACAAAUCCCCCGUGAGGCACCAAGCUCACUUCACAUCCAGCUGCCACCCCAGCUGCCUUUCUCUCCCCCAGGCACCAAGCGAGAGCCACUGGCUGGUCCCUCAGUGGCCGAAUCACAAAGGAAAAAGCCCAAGGCCAAGGGGCAGUGAGCCCCACAAGGACAUCCAGGCAGUUGUUAGUUAUGGAUCAUGCACUACUUGUCCUGUUUUGACCCAUUUUGCUCAGCCACCUUGCAUUAAUCCCUUCCCCUCUCCCAGCCUGAGACUGGCAACUUGGCUGCUGCCACCACCCCAAAAAUCAACUCCCACCCCAAGCACAUGCCCCAAAAAAGGUUAAGUCACCCACCCAUCUGAACCAACCCCACCUGAAAACCCCUGAGCUUCCAGACCAUGCCCCAGAGGGUGAACACCACCCCGCAAAUCUGUCCCUGAGGGGCAACACCCCACUGGAUCCACCUCCACCCCUGCCUUAGCUGUAAUAUUACCGUUAUUAAAGGAAGCAGAGUAGUUAAGAAAGCACAGCUCGAUUCUGAACACACCUUGACCCACCAGCACCACGCUGAAAUCCCCUGGCAGCACAAGCACAUUCCAGCUACAGCGUCACCAGGCUGGUCAUCGCAGGGAAGCUGGCAGCUUGCUUGAUUGCCUGCAGAAAGCAUUAGGAAACGGGUUGAGGAUACGGUGAGUGCAAGGCAGGGUCAAAGCCAGCCCCAGAAAGGUGCUCAGAUGCCUGGAAGCAUUACAGCGGCCAGCCAAGGCCAAGCACUGCUGUUGCCACGUCAGGGGCUGCAGAGACUGUCACACAGACGCGAAUCCAAAGAAAGCAGCUCGCGGAAGGAAGCCACAUAAGGAGUAACAAGCCACAGGCCUACGAAGCCCACCCAACAGAGGGUUUAGCGUGAGAGGGGGCGAGGAGAGGGCGCAGCAGAGAGGAAAGAAACACCCUGGAAACGGUGGAAAGGCAGCCCUGCAUGCAGAAGUGCCUGCUCAAGGGCUGUCCCGCAUCCUCAUCUGCUGGGGUUUAAAUCAGGCAGAGCAAAGCAAGCCUGCGUCUGACCGCAUCGGCCUGGCGCCUGUCAGACGAUGCAGGCUCCUGUGUCAGUUUUUUGGGGAUACAAACCUCUUUCAGGCUUCACUGGGUCACUCCCGCAUAUUCUUCAUGAAGCUGGUGGGAGCCCAAAGCACAUGGAGAAUCUCAACAUUAAAUAAAAACCUCUGAUGUAUUUUAACGGGCA